AGAGUUUGAUCAUGGCUCAGAUUGAACGCUGGCGGCAGGCCUAACACAUGCAAGUCGAACGGUAACAGGAAGCAGCUUGCUGCUUCGCUGACGAGUGGCGGACGGGUGAGUAAUGUCUGGGAAACUGCCUGAUGGAGGGGGAUAACUACUGGAAACGGUAGCUAAUACCGCAUAACGUCGCAAGACCAAAGAGGGGGACCUUCGGGCCUCUUGCCAUCGGAUGUGCCCAGAUGGGAUUAGCUAGUAGGUGGGGUAACGGCUCACCUAGGCGACGAUCCCUAGCUGGUCUGAGAGGAUGACCAGCCACACUGGAACUGAGACACGGUCCAGACUCCUACGGGAGGCAGCAGUGGGGAAUAUUGCACAAUGGGCGCAAGCCUGAUGCAGCCAUGCCGCGUGUAUGAAGAAGGCCUUCGGGUUGUAAAGUACUUUCAGCGGGGAGGAAGGGAGUAAAGUUAAUACCUUUGCUCAUUGACGUUACCCGCAGAAGAAGCACCGGCUAACUCCGUGCCAGCAGCCGCGGUAAUACGGAGGGUGCAAGCGUUAAUCGGAAUUACUGGGCGUAAAGCGCACGCAGGCGGUUUGUUAAGUCAGAUGUGAAAUCCCCGGGCUCAACCUGGGAACUGCAUCUGAUACUGGCAAGCUUGAGUCUCGUAGAGGGGGGUAGAAUUCCAGGUGUAGCGGUGAAAUGCGUAGAGAUCUGGAGGAAUACCGGUGGCGAAGGCGGCCCCCUGGACGAAGACUGACGCUCAGGUGCGAAAGCGUGGGGGAGCAAACAGGAUUAGAUACCCUGGUAGUCC
RNAcentral lists this ribosomal RNA (800 nucleotides) under uncultured bacterium. RNAcentral's name for it is "bacterial SSU rRNA". It matches the Rfam family "Bacterial small subunit ribosomal RNA", at positions 8 to 796 of the family's 1533-position model. The record is from RNAcentral.